This is a long non-coding RNA of Oncorhynchus keta (chum salmon), 2157 nucleotides long. RefSeq lists it as uncharacterized. The transcript has 3 exons. The record is from RefSeq and is a predicted model, not a curated record. Lineage: Eukaryota; Metazoa; Chordata; Actinopteri; Salmoniformes; Salmonidae.
CACUGCGAUUUUAUGAAUUGCUCAGAAGUCUUAUGGCUUGGAGGUAGAAGCUGUUGAGGAGCCUUUUGGUCCUAGACUUGGCCCUCCAGUACCGCUUGCUGUGCGGUAGCAGAGAAAACAGUCUAUAACUUGGGUGACUGGAGUCUCUGACAAUCUUAUGGGCUUUCCUCUGACAUCCCCUGUUAUAUAGGGGACGAAGUACACACCCCUGAGGGGCCCAGUGUUAAGGAUCAGCGUGGCAGACGUGUUGUUGCCAACUCUUACCACCUGGGGGCGGCCUGUCAGGAAGUCCAGGAUCCAGUUGCAGAGGGAGGUGAGUUGUUUUUUGGGUAUCUGUACUUUAUUUAUAUUUUUGACUACUUUUUACUCCAUACAUUUCCCCUAACACCCAAAAGUACUCGUUACAUUUUGAAUGCUUAGCAGGACAGGGAAAAUGUCUAAUUCACACACUUAAAGAGAAAAUCCCUGGUCAUCCCUACUGCAUCUGAUCUGGUGGACUCACUAAACACAAAUACUUUGUUUGUAAAUUAUGUCGGAGUGUUGGAGUAUGCCCCUGGUUAUCCGUAAAAUUUUAAAAAAAAUAAUAAUAAUAAUGCUGUCUGGUUUGCUUAAUAUAAGGAAUUUGAAAUGAUUUAUACUUUUGAUACUUAAGUAUAUUUGAGCAAUUACAUGUACUUUUUUAUUUUACCUUUAUUUUAACCAGGCAAGUCAGUUAAGAACAAAUUCUUAUUUUCAAUGAUGGCCUGGGAACAGUGGGUUAACUGCCUGUUCAGGGGCAGAACGACAGAUUUGUACCUUGUCAGCUCGGGAUUUGAACUCGCAACCGGUUACUAGUCCAACGCUCUAACCACUAGGCUACCCUGCCGCCCCUUUUGAUACUUAAGUAUAUUUAAAACCAAUUUGUUUUAAACAACUUUCACCAAUUUGUAAGUCGCUCUGGAUAAGAGCGUCUGCUAAAUGACUUUAAAUGUUAAAUGUUAAGUAGGAUUUUACUGGGUGACUUUCACUUUACUUGAGUCAUUUUCUAAGAUAGCUUUACUUUUACUCAAGUAUGACAAUUUGGUACUUCUUCAUGGCACUGUAUAUAUGGGCUACUUCUUUAGUUAAUUUGAGAGAUACUGGUAUCUGCCACGCAUAAAUGCAAUUAUCUGAAAUUUGGUCAAACAUCAUAUAGGCCAGUGAUGAAGCAAUCAAAUCAAACAGCAUGCACCAGAUUUAAAUAGAAGUUUCUUUCUUUCGUUUAGAACUCUUUCCCUACACCUUUAUACCGUCUCCUUCCUGAUGCCUGCAGGGCAGGCUGCCUCCCUGCUGCUCCUUUGUCUCUACUUCCCUCAACUUAAUUGCCUUGCUGAGGCUCAACUAAUUCAGUCUGAAGGAGACAAAUUAGUUCCUGCAGGGGCGUUUCUCAAACAAUAAAAUUGUUGCUAAGCAGAGAUUAUCUCUGUUUGCGUCCCAAAUGACAGCCUAUUCCAUAGUGUGCUGCUUUUGACCAGAGCCCUAUGGGCCAUGCCCUGAACAAAAGUAGUGCACUAUAUAGGGAAGGGGUAUUCAACUCUGACCCUACGAGGUCUGGAGCCUGCUGGUUUUCUGUUCUACCUGAUACUUAAUUGCACCCACCUGGUGCUAAAUCAGUCCAUGAUUAGAAGGGGAAAAAUGGAAAAGCAGUGGAACUGGCUUCGAGGUCCAAAGUUGCGUUUGAGGGAUAUAGGGAACAGGGUGCCAUUUGGGAUGAACACUUAGGGUGUUCAUAGGCAACACAACACCCACUGCAAACUAAAUUAAUGACCUGAUAUUUCUUACCAUGAUAAUUAUAUUUUGGGGAAAAAUAAUUGCUGCCAGAUGGUGAAAAGAACAUGAACGCAAAUGAACCACUUGCAAAGAUCUGCAAAGGCUUUUUUCACCAUGAGGAACUGUGACUCUCUGUGAGAACGUUUCAGCUUGGCCCUGCGGUUCUGGAACCAAAUCUGUGGAGAACAUUGCAUAUAGAGCUCUUUAGAACAACCUUUGUGGUUUGCAGUCUCUGUGCCAAUUCUUCUCUGAUGCCAAUACCCGGGUAGGAGUUGAUGAGGAACACACUCUCCAGGACCUCAAUCUGCACAGAGCCCAAGAAGAUAUAUCAAUCAUACAAUCAAAUUGUAUUUUUAUUUUCACAAAAAC